Molecule: non-coding RNA, 244 nt
Organism: Pelobates cultripes (western spadefoot toad)
Lineage: Eukaryota; Metazoa; Chordata; Amphibia; Anura; Pelobatidae
Source: the annotation of a GenBank genome assembly
AGAUAGUUUACUCGGUCACAACUCACAUGAAAGAAGAUCUGUCGAUGUUUAUUCGUCGUAUGUUCUGUAGAAUGUGCAGUUAAAGGACCACUAUAGUGCCAGGAAAACACUCGUUUUCCUGGCACUAUAGUGCCCUGAGGGUGCCCCCACCCUCAGGGUCCCCGUUCCGCCCGGCUCUGGAAGGGGAAAAGGGGUAAAAACUUACCUUUUUCCAUCGCUGGGCGGAGAGCUCUCCUUCUCUCCU